Vicia faba (fava bean) is the source of this 195-nucleotide non-coding RNA. NCBI's taxonomy places the organism in Eukaryota, Viridiplantae, Streptophyta, Magnoliopsida, Fabales, Fabaceae. The record is from the annotation of a GenBank genome assembly.
AUGUUUAUAUACAUUUUCCAGAUGAUAUAUGUAAAAAAUAAAUUUUUUCCCUUCUUUAAUGUAUUAUGUAUUGCAAUAUAUGUUUAUGUUUAUUUAAAGUCUGUAUAUUUUUCUUGUGAUGAUUUAUAUUUUUAUUCCUCAUGCCCUACUGAUGUCAUGUUAUCUUCACACACAUACCUGUGUAAUUGUAAUUGA